RNAcentral lists this ribosomal RNA (301 nucleotides) under uncultured bacterium. Its description in RNAcentral is "partial 16S ribosomal RNA". It matches the Rfam family "Archaeal small subunit ribosomal RNA", at positions 459 to 760 of the family's 1478-position model. The record is from RNAcentral.
CAGCAGCCGCGGUAACACCAGCACCUCGAGUGGUCAGGAGGUUUAUUGGGCCUAAAGCAUCCGUAGCCGGUUGCAUAAGUUUUCGGUUAAAUCUAUGCGCUUAACGUAUAGGCCGCCGAAAAUACUGUGCAGCUAGGGAGUGGGAGAGGUACACGGUACUCGAUAGGAAGGGGUAAAAUCCUUUGAUCUAUUGAUGACCACCUGUGGCGAAGGCGGUGUACCAGAACACGUUCGACGGUGAGGGAUGAAAGCUGGGGGAGCAAACCGGAUUAGAGACCCGAGUAGUCCCUGUCUCUUAUAU